GCGUCGUGAAGAGCUUCCGUAGUGCUUCUGUUGGGGCCGACUUCUUGACUCGUUGCGGACGCCAUUUAUUGCUCAAGUACAACAUUGACAGUGGUGCUUUCUACAAGGUCGUCGAGCGCUUUUGCCUGGUCACGCAUCUCUGCUACGCGGCGGUUGAGAAGCACAGUGACGGGGCCGCUACGAACGGCGAGGCCACGCAGGCCCUGCCUUGAAAGCGUUCUGCGAUGGGGACGGAGUCCAGGAGCACCGAGGGCCGAUAGCUUCGUGCGCGCUGUGUUGUCGCCACUUAGUUCGCGUUGAAGCGAGAGGCAGCGCGAAGAACCUGACGUUGUUUCAAGACAAAAUUGUGGACUGUUACCGAAGAUACGCCUUGUUGGUUGUCGCAACGCGCCCUGAUCUGCUCGGCGAGGAACUGAGCAAUAACAUCGACAAAAUUACAAGGGAAACUGGGGUAUGCAUGAAGAAGAGAAUGCCGAAGGACAAAGAUGUCAUGCUGGGCGUGAUCCGCUACAUACGACGACUCUUCUUCACAGCAUGAUCCUACUGAAAUGCUGUGUGCUAACGGACUUUUAUAUAUCCAUGUUAUUCCAUUGAGUUGACGGCAGCCACUGAUACAUGGUUACUGCACGUCCCUCCAUACAGGUUAGUUACAACGUGUGGGAACUGAUCACCUGAAGUUUAGUAGUUGCAAUACGUAGCCAUCGGACAUCAACAAUGUUGCUUUCCAAUUUAAAGAUUUAUAGUGCAUCAUACUUUCUUUUGCUUGACGCAUCAGAAAACUUAUCUUCUGAUAUUAAUCAUCUCACCGCACACAUUCUUUCUCGAAAUUUUUGCCCCUUUUAAGUAAAACCGCUCCUCUUCGUUAUGCUUAAGCCGGUAUUUCGGCAGCGCUUACA
Non-coding RNA from Dermacentor albipictus, 896 nucleotides. The record is from RefSeq and is a predicted model, not a curated record. Lineage: Eukaryota; Metazoa; Arthropoda; Arachnida; Ixodida; Ixodidae.